This 315-nucleotide ribosomal RNA is filed under the name Gilvimarinus gilvus. RNAcentral describes it as "partial 23S ribosomal RNA". It matches the Rfam family "Bacterial large subunit ribosomal RNA", at positions 1237 to 1605 of the family's 2925-position model. The record is from RNAcentral. Lineage: Bacteria; Pseudomonadati; Pseudomonadota; Gammaproteobacteria; Cellvibrionales; Cellvibrionaceae.
CAUUCUAACGGCGCAGAAGUCAUCUGGUAAUGGAUGGUGGAGCUUUUAGAAAAGAAAAUGUAGGCAUGAGUAACGAUAAAAUAAGUGAGAAACUUAUUCGCCGUAAGACUAAGGCUUCCUCAGCUAUGCUAAUCAGCUGAGGGUUAGUCGGGACCUAACACGAACCCUAACGGGGUAGUGGAUGGCAAACGGGUUAAUAUUCCCGUACCUGCACUCAAUAAAAGUGACGAAUGAUUGUAGGAGGUGCGUACUGACGGAAUAGUACGUUGAACCUACGUAAAGUAGGGAUAGUACACGAAGACUUCGGUUAGAGUG